GAUGAAGAACGCAGCGAAAUGCGAUAAGUAAUGUGAAUUGCAGAAUUCAGUGAAUCAUCGAAUCUUUGAACGCACAUUGCGCCCGCCAGUAUUCUGGCGGGCAUGCCUGUUCGAGCGUCAUUACAACCCUCAGGCCUCCGGGCCUGGCGUUGGGGAUCGGCGGAGCCCCCCGUGGGCACACGCCGUCCCCCAAAUACAGUGGCGGUCCCGCCGCAGCUUCCGUCGCGUAGUAGCUAACACCUCGCAACUGGAGAGCGGCGCGGCCACGCCGUAAAACACCCAACUUCUGAAUGUUGACCUCGAAUCAGGUAGGAAUACCCGCUGAACUUAAGCAUAUCAAUAAGCGGAGGA
RNAcentral lists this unclassified non-coding RNA (351 nucleotides) under soil metagenome. RNAcentral's name for it is "partial contains 5.8S ribosomal RNA, internal transcribed spacer 2, and large subunit ribosomal RNA". The stretch from base 1 to 120 matches the Rfam family "5.8S ribosomal RNA", at positions 35 to 154 of the family's 154-position model. The record is from RNAcentral.